RNAcentral lists this ribosomal RNA (460 nucleotides) under uncultured bacterium. RNAcentral's name for it is "partial 16S ribosomal RNA". It matches the Rfam family "Bacterial small subunit ribosomal RNA", at positions 338 to 795 of the family's 1533-position model. The record is from RNAcentral.
CCUACGGGAGGCAGCAGUGAGGAAUAUUGGUCAAUGGACGAGAGUCUGAACCAGCCAAGUAGCGUGAAGGAUGACUGCCCUAUGGGUUGUAAACUUCUUUUAUAUGGGAAUAAAAUGUUCCACGUGUGGGAUUUUGUAUGUACCCUAUGAAUAAGGAUCGGCUAACUCCGUGCCAGCAGCCGCGGUAAUACGGAGGAUCCGAGCGUUAUCCGGAUUUAUUGGGUUUAAAGGGUGCGUAGGUGGAUUGUUAAGUCAGUUGUGAAAGUUUGCGGCUCAACCGUAAAAUUGCAGUUGAAACUGGCAGUCUUGAGUACGGUAGAGGUAGGCGGAAUUCGUGGUGUAGCGGUGAAAUGCAUAGAUAUCACGAAGAACUCCGAUUGCGAAGGCAGUUCACUGGACUGCAACUGACACUGAGGCUCGAAAGUGUGGGUAUCAAACAGGAUUAGAUACCCUAGUAGUC